This is a non-coding RNA of Parasteatoda tepidariorum (common house spider), 748 nucleotides long. NCBI's taxonomy places the organism in Eukaryota, Metazoa, Arthropoda, Arachnida, Araneae, Theridiidae. The record is from RefSeq and is a predicted model, not a curated record.
CUCCAUGUUCUCAUAACAAAUUAUGCCCCUGGGGGGAAGGGCUCAAUUGGAGAUUGAUCGUUCUCUGGUUCUUUACAAAAUUACGAUCUGUGGAUGAAUGAAUGGACGUAUGAACGGGUGUGACGUAUGGAUGUGGCAGAAGUCGAAUUCUUGGCUAUAGAUUGCGCCACUGCUAAGCAAGAACAAUUGCACCCCUUUCCUUACUGGCCUACAACAGCAACUUGAAAGAAAGUAAAACAAAAGAGAAAUAACACGGUCCGGUGUAAUUCAUGUUAAAGAAAUUUGAAAUAUAUGUUUUUAUUAUUGUUCUGAUGUUAAAAUGUAAGAGAUAAUACUGCUUUUUAAGAAAAAUUAUAUUUCUUUAAAUAUUUCUAGAUACCAUAUGGCUACCUUUCUAAUAACUGGCCUAUCAGAUACACAGCUGUAGAUUCACAAGGUCAGAGUAUGGAUGUUGCUGGUAGAAGUGGCUUAGCACAUUAUUCACUAGUACAGAGAAGGUGGAAAUUGUUUGGAAAUGAAACACAGGAAAGAGAUUUUGUUACUAUGGGCGGAUUACUAUGGUGGGAAGAUCAAAUUAUACUUGGCUGCUAUAAUCUACGUGACUUGAGAGAUGAGGUGAAUAUAAUUUUUUCUUAUACCACAGUUUAUAUACCUUACAAUUUAAAUAUAUAAUUGAAAGUUACUGAGAAAAGUUAGAUUAGUUUGUGAUAUUUGUAGUGAAAUAUUCAUGCAUUGAUGAGUAUUAAAA